RNAcentral lists this ribosomal RNA (253 nucleotides) under uncultured bacterium. RNAcentral describes it as "partial 16S ribosomal RNA". It matches the Rfam family "Bacterial small subunit ribosomal RNA", at positions 524 to 776 of the family's 1533-position model. The record is from RNAcentral.
UACGUAGGGGCCUAGCGUUGUCCGGAUUUAUUGGGCGUAAAGAGCUCGUAGGCGGCUCGUCGCGUCGACCGUGAAAACCCGCGGCUUAACUGCGGGCUUGCGGUUGAUACGGGCGGGCUAGAGUUCGGUAGGGGAGACUGGAAUUCCUGGUGUAGCGGUGAAAUGCGCAGAUAUCAGGAGGAACACCGGUGGCGAAGGCGGGUCUCUGGGCCGAUACUGACGCUGAGGAGCGAAAGCGUGGGGAGCGAACAGG